AGGAUGAACGCUGGCGGCGUGCCUAAUACAUGCAAGUCGAGCGGUAAGGCUACUUCGGUAGUACACGAGCGGCGGACGGCUGAGUAACACGUAGGAACGUACCCCAAAGUGAGGCAUAAGCACCAGAAAUGGUGUCUAAUACCGCAUGUGAUCUUCGGAUUAAAGCUUCGGCGCUUUGGGAACGGCCUGCGCAUGAUUAGCUUGUUGGUGAGGUAAUAGCUCACCAAGGCGACGAUCAUUAGCUGGUCUGAGAGGAUGACCAGCCAGACUGGGACUGAGAACGGCCCAGACUCCUACGGGAGGCAGCAGUAGGGAAUUUUCCACAAUGGGCGAAAGCCUGAUGGAGCAACGCCGCGUGCAGGAUGAAGGCUCUCGGGUCGUAAACUGCUUUUAUAUGUGAAGAUUAUGACGGUAGCAUAUGAAUAAGGAUCGGCUAACUCCGUGCCAGCAGCCGCGGU
RNAcentral lists this ribosomal RNA (458 nucleotides) under uncultured bacterium. Its description in RNAcentral is "SSU rRNA". It matches the Rfam family "Bacterial small subunit ribosomal RNA", at positions 26 to 521 of the family's 1533-position model. The record is from RNAcentral.